Molecule: ribosomal RNA, 1417 nt
Filed under: uncultured bacterium
Lineage: Bacteria
Description: bacterial SSU rRNA
Rfam family: Bacterial small subunit ribosomal RNA
Source: RNAcentral
UUUGAUCCUGGCUCAGGACGAACGCUGGCGGCGUGCCUAAUACAUGCAAGUAGAACGCUGAAGAGAGGAGCUUGCUCUUCUUGGAUGAGUUUGCGAACGGGUGAGUAACGCGUAGGUAACCUGCCUGGUAGCGGGGGAUAACUAUUGGAAACGAUAGCUAAUACCGCAUGAAAUUGCUUAUCGCAUGAUAAUUAAUUGAAAGAUGCAAUUGCAUCACUACCAGAUGGACCUGCGUUGUAUCAGCUAGUUGGUGAGGUAACGGCUCACCAAGGCGACGAUACAUAGCCGACCUGAGAGGGUGAUCGGCCACACUGGGACUGAGACACGGCCCAGACUCCUACGGGAGGCAGCAGUAGGGAAUCUUCGGCAAUGGGGGGAACCCUGACCGAGCAACGCCGCGUGAGUGAAGAAGGUUUUCGGAUCGUAAAGCUCUGUUGUAAGAGAAGAACGGGUGUGAGAGUGGAAAGUUCACACUGUGACGGUAUCUUACCAGAAAGGGACGGCUAACUACGUGCCAGCAGCCGCGGUAAUACGUAGGUCCCGAGCGUUGUCCGGAUUUAUUGGGCGUAAAGCGAGCGCAGGCGGUUAGAUAAGUCUGAAGUUAAAGGCUGUGGCUUAACCAUAGUAUGCUUUGGGAACUGUUUAACUUGAGUGCAGAAGGGGAGAGUGGAAUUCCAUGUGUAGCGGUGAAAUGCGUAGAUAUAUGGAGGAACACCGGUGGCGAAAGCGGCUCUCUGGUCUGUAACUGACGCUGAGGCUCGAAAGCGUGGGGAGCAAACAGGAUUAGAUACCCUGGUAGUCCACGCCGUAAACGAUGAGUGCUAGGUGUUAGGCCCUUUCCGGGGCUUAGUGCCGCAGCUAACGCAUUAAGCACUCCGCCUGGGGAGUACGACCGCAAGGUUGAAAACUCAAAAGGAAUUGACGGGGGCCCGCACAAGCGGUGGAGCAUGUGGUUUAAAUUCGAAGCAAACGCGAAGAACCUUACCAGGUCUUGACAUCCCUCUGACCGCUCUAGAGAUAGAGUUUUCCUUCGGGACAGAGGUGACAGGUGGUGCAUGGUUGUCGUCAGCUCGUGUCGUGAGAUGUUGGGUUAAGUCCCGCAACGAGCGCAAACCCCUAUUGUUAGUUGCCAUCAUUGAGUUGGGCACUCUAGCGAGACUGCCGGUAAUAAACCGGAGGAAGGUGGGGAUGACGUCAAAUCAUCAUGCCCCUUAUGACCUGGGCUACACACGUGCUACGAAUGGCUGGUACAACGAGUCGCGAAGCCGGUGACGGCGAAGCUAAUCUCUGAAAGCCGGUCUCGGUUUCGGAUUGUAGGCUGCGAACUCGCCUACAUGAAAGUCGGAAAUCGCUAGUAAUCGCGGAUCAGCGACGCCGCGGUGAAAUACGUUUCCCGGGCCUUGCACACACCGCCCGU